GACAAGUGAAAUCUGUAAUUUUGUAAAGCAAAUGAAAUCUUCCCACGAGACAAGUUGGCCCUCUCUAUUCCUACGCUCUGGUUUUGAAUGAUUCAUUAUCACUUGCACUCACUCAUUUUCCUCAGUAAAUGAGUGAAUGAUUCAGGCUUUUGAACGGAAAACACAGGCCGUGUUCCAGACUUUAGAAUAGCAACACCAGCAAGAAU
This 206-nucleotide long non-coding RNA is filed under the name Citrus sinensis (sweet orange). RNAcentral's name for it is "long non-coding RNA (CSIN_LNC004138)". The record is from RNAcentral. Lineage: Eukaryota; Viridiplantae; Streptophyta; Magnoliopsida; Sapindales; Rutaceae.